This 432-nucleotide ribosomal RNA is filed under the name uncultured Clostridium sp. RNAcentral describes it as "bacterial SSU rRNA". It matches the Rfam family "Bacterial small subunit ribosomal RNA", at positions 958 to 1393 of the family's 1533-position model. The record is from RNAcentral. Lineage: Bacteria; Bacillati; Bacillota; Clostridia; Eubacteriales; Clostridiaceae.
AACGCGAAGAACCUUACCUAGACUUGACAUCUCCUGCAUUACUCUUAAUCGAGGAAGUCCUUUCGGGGACAGGAUGACAGGUGGUGCAUGGUUGUCGUCAGCUCGUGUCGUGAGAUGUUGGGUUAAGUCCCGCAACGAGCGCAACCCUUAUUGUUAGUUGCCAUCAUUAAGUUGGGCACUCUAGCGAGACUGCCCGGGUUAACCGGGAGGAAGGUGGGGAUGACGUCAAAUCAUCAUGCCCCUUAUGUCUAGGGCUACACACGUGCUACAAUGGUCGGUACAAUAAGACGCAAGCCCGCGAGGGGGAGCAAAACUGGAAAACCGAUCUCAGUUCGGAUUGUAGGCUGAAACUCGCCUACAUGAAGCUGGAGUUGCUAGUAAUCGCGAAUCAGCAUGUCGCGGUGAAUACGUUCCCGGGUCUUGUACACACGC